This 407-nucleotide ribosomal RNA is filed under the name uncultured bacterium. Its description in RNAcentral is "bacterial SSU rRNA". It matches the Rfam family "Bacterial small subunit ribosomal RNA", at positions 355 to 776 of the family's 1533-position model. The record is from RNAcentral.
UUAGGAAUAUUGGGCAAUGGAGGAAACUCUGACCCAGCAACGCCGCGUGAAGGAAGAAGGUUUUCGGAUUGUAAACUUCUGUAUUAUGUGACAAAGAAAGUGAUGGUAGCAUAAUAGAAAGCUACGGCAAACUACGUGCCAGCAGCCGCGGUAAUACGUAGGUAGCGAGCGUUGUCCGGAAUAACUGGGCGUAAAGGGAGCGUAGGCGGUUAAUUAAGUCUAAUGUGGAAGUCUGUGGCUUAACCAUAGGAGUGCAUUGGAUACUGGUUAACUAGAGUACGGAAGAGGUAAACGGAACUACUAGUGUAGCGGUGGAAUGCGUAGAUAUUAGUAAGAACACCAGAGGCGAAGGCGGUUUACUGGGACGUAACUGACGCUGAGGCUCGAAAGCGUGGGGAGCAAACAGG